Molecule: non-coding RNA, 72 nt
Organism: Phrynosoma platyrhinos (Desert horned lizard)
Lineage: Eukaryota; Metazoa; Chordata; Lepidosauria; Squamata; Phrynosomatidae
Source: the annotation of a GenBank genome assembly
GUCAGUGUGGCAUAGUUGUUUUAGUGUUGGACUGUGAUUCUGGGGACCAGGGUUCCAUUCCCAGCUCUGCCA